RNAcentral lists this non-coding RNA (24 nucleotides) under Arabidopsis thaliana (thale cress). Lineage: Eukaryota; Viridiplantae; Streptophyta; Magnoliopsida; Brassicales; Brassicaceae. The record is from RNAcentral.
AUCCCACUCUAUGAUCUGUAAUGU